CGAACGCUGGCGGCGUGCUUAACACAUGCAAGUCGAGCGGAAAGGCCCUGCUUUUGUGGGGUGCUCGAGUGGCGAACGGGUGAGUAACACGUGAGUAACCUGCCCUUGACUUUGGGAUAACUUCAGGAAACUGGGGCUAAUACCGGAUAGGAGCUCCUGCUGCAUGGUGGGGGUUGGAAAGUUUCGGCGGUUGGGGAUGGACUCGCGGCUUAUCAGCUUGUUGGUGGGGUAGUGGCUUACCAAGGCUUUGACGGGUAGCCGGCCUGAGAGGGUGACCGGCCACAUUGGGACUGAGAUACGGCCCAGACUCCUACGGGAGGCAGCAGUGGGGAAUAUUGCACAAUGGGCGGAAGCCUGAUGCAACGACGCCGCGUGCGGGAUGACGGCCUUCGGGUUGUAAACCGCUUUCGCCUGUGACGAAGCGUGAGUGACGGUAAUGGGUAAAGAAGCACCGGCUAACUACGUG
RNAcentral lists this ribosomal RNA (466 nucleotides) under uncultured bacterium. RNAcentral describes it as "partial 16S ribosomal RNA". It matches the Rfam family "Bacterial small subunit ribosomal RNA", at positions 30 to 507 of the family's 1533-position model. The record is from RNAcentral.